UCUGGAUUGUCCUGGAUCAUUGCAUUGCUGCUAGUAGAGAAGUCCAUUACAUUCGAUUGUACCACAGUGUAUCAGUCUCUGUGUACAAUGUUCUCCUGGUUCUGCUCCUCUCACUCUGCAUCACUUCCUGGAGGUUGUUCCAGUCUCCAUGGAAUUCCUCCCCUUUAUUAUUCCUUUUAGCAUAAUAGUAUUCCAUCACCAACAUAUACCACAAUUUGUUCAGCCAUUCCCCAAUUGAAGGGCAUCCCCUCAUUUUCCAAUUUUUUGGCCACCACAAAGAGCGCAACUCUAAAUAUUUUUGCACAUAUAUUUUUCCUUUUGUCUCGUUGGGGUAUGUUGGACAUUUUGGUAAAUAUUGACAAUAAUAAAUCUGGGGAAACAGGAAGGAAGUAGAAUCAGUACAGUUGAGACACAGGGCACAAUAGCCUCAAUGGUACUCCUGGACAAGCCUGCUUAGGCUACAUUUGUUGCAGGACAUAUAGAGCAUUAGAGCAGAAAGAAUAUGUUGGGGAGAGAAAACAGACCACAUCAUCCAUGGAGGAAAUUUGAUAGGGUAGAAAGUGUGCUGGUUUUGAAAUCAGAGAAUUCAAACUAUUACAAUGCAUCAUGUACCACACACAAUUCAUCUCUCCAUUCCCCAUCUGAUGAGCCCCUGCUUUGUUUCCAAUUCUUUGCUGAUGGACAGAAAAAAGUGCCAUUAUGAAUAUCUUGGGCUUAUCAAGAACCAGAGAAGCAACAUCUGAGCAAGUCAGAGGCUGAAAACAGCAGACAAACUGUGUAACUGAGAGAUUCCUGAAACUGGAGAUUUGUAAGGUUGGAAGAAUCUUGAUAUUUGCAUAUGCAAUUUGGAGAUUCCCAGAAUGUCCAAUUCAAAUGCAAAACUCACGUUCAUGAAUAAGUCAUGAGCAGUGACUUGGCUCCUUCUCUCCCCCCCAAUUAUCAUUUCUCCCCCUCCUUGAGUAAUCACCAGUCAGCCAGGCUCAUCAUUUGUUUCUGACAGAGGCAGGUAAAGGUGAGUUCCUCCAGAGUUGAACGUGCUAGUUUUCUUAGCUAAGCAUACUCUGUACUCACAUUCCAGCUGGAAAGAGGGAGUGAGCUCUACAGAUCCGGAGUGCUGGGGCUUGAUCCGAAUUUUCCAGGAUGAAAACGAAAUGCCAGCAGCCUUUUCUCCUGUCAGGAGAGGCUCUCAGGGCAAUGAUAGCUAAUCCACCCCCCACUGUGUGCCCCACUCCGGCCAGGACUUUAGGUUCCCCAGGGCUUUGUAUCUCCUGCUGAUGGCGGAGGCUGAGGCUGUUAGUGUUAGGGGAGAAAUCUCUCCCCUGAGUGCAUGUGGUGGCUAACUGCUGCCAAAAUAUAUUUACUACAACUCAGAAAUGAGAGGUAGAAAUCUAGGUUUUACUAUGAUGUUCAAGCAUAGGUUCAGGCCUUAGAGAAAACCUUUAGUCUAUUAGGAUUCUCACAAGUUCUCUUACAGGCAAAAUUACACCAGGGUGACACUUCAUUCUUCUCUCCCUUCCUCCCUUCCUUCCUUCUCUCUCUUUCCUUUUCUUUCUUUCCUUCCUUCCUUCCUUCCUUCCUUCCUUCCUUCCUUCCUUCCUUCCUUCCUUCCUUCCUUCCUUCCUUCCUUCCUUCCUUCCUUCCUUCUCUCUUCACUCUUCCCUCCUUAAUGCCUUGAUUUAAUAAACAUUUAUUGAGCAUUUUACA
This is a long non-coding RNA of Monodelphis domestica (gray short-tailed opossum), 1704 nucleotides long. The record is from Ensembl. Lineage: Eukaryota; Metazoa; Chordata; Mammalia; Didelphimorphia; Didelphidae.